CAACUGCGGCUGAAGGCAGCGCCAUUUUGGACGUGUAGUGGCUGCGGGCUUGGGGAAGGUCGGGUAGUGCUGCUGGCUUGACCAUCUCGUGGUUUUGUUUGGCUUUCUCCUUUUCCAGUACCAUCUCCAAACGGAGGCACGGAGCCGCAGACAUAUCUUUAGGGUUGGCUGCGGGCCCGAGGCGAAGCCCUCCGAUGAUGUUGAGGGGAAACCUGAAGCAAGUCAGAAUUGAGAAAAACCCAGCCCGCCUGCGCGCUCUUGAAUCGGCGGCAGGGGAGAGUGAGCCGGCGGCCGCCAUGGCGCUCGUGCUGGCUGGGGAGACCGCUCCACCCACUCCUGCUCCAGCGGAGGAGCGCCCGGACGAGGAGGUGGGCUUCACCAUCGAUAUCAAGAGCUUCCUUAAGCCGGGCGAGAAGACGUACACGCAGCGCUGCCGCCUCUUCGUGGGCAAUCUGCCUACCGAUAUCACGGAGGAGGACUUCAAGCGGCUCUUCGAGCGUUAUGGUGAGCCUAGUGAAGUCUUCAUCAACCGCGACCGCGGUUUCGGCUUCAUCCGCCUGGAAUCCAGAACGCUGGCUGAAAUUGCAAAAGCAGAGCUUGAUGGCACCAUUUUGAAGAGCAGACCUCUCCGGAUUCGUUUUGCUACACAUGGAGCAGCCCUGACUGUCAAGAACCUUUCUCCAGUUGUUUCCAAUGAGCUGCUAGAGCAAGCAUUUUCCCAGUUUGGUCCAGUAGAGAAAGCCGUUGUGGUUGUGGAUGAUCGUGGUAGAGCUACAGGAAAAGGUUUUGUAGAAUUUGCAGCAAAACCUCCUGCACGAAAGGCUCUGGAAAGAUGUGGUGAUGGGGCGUUCUUGCUAACAACGACCCCACGGCCAGUCAUUGUGGAGCCAAUGGAGCAAUUUGAUGAUGAAGAUGGCUUGCCAGAGAAGCUAAUGCAGAAAACUCAACAAUAUCAUAAGGAACGAGAACAACCACCACGUUUUGCUCAGCCUGGGACAUUUGAGUUUGAGUAUGCAUCUCGAUGGAAGGCUCUUGAUGAAAUGGAGAAGCAGCAGCGUGAGCAGGUUGACAGAAACAUCAGAGAAGCCAAAGAGAAGCUAGAGGCAGAAAUGGAAGCAGCCAGGCAUGAACACCAGUUAAUGCUGAUGAGGCAAGAUCUCAUGAGGCGUCAAGAAGAACUGAGACGCCUGGAAGAACUCAGGAACCAAGAGCUGCAAAAACGAAAGCAAAUACAACUGAGACAUGAAGAAGAGCAUCGUCGUCGUGAAGAAGAAAUGAUUCGACACAGAGAACAAGAGGAACUGAGGCGACAGCAAGAAGGCUUUAAGCCAAAUUAUAUGGAAAAUACUGAUACCACUUGCAAAGGAGUGCUGUGCCUGAGAGAGAUGGCUCCUGGAGUAUGGGGGAUGACCCAGCAUAUGGAUCCUGGUAGCUGUUCUUUCAGUUCUCUCCCCAGAGCCACAAGCUGCAGAUUUUCUUCAUGCAUCUCUAGUCCACUCUGCCCUCCUUCUGUCGGAGCCCAGGGAGGAUAAAAACAUGGAUAAAGCUACCUGAAAUUUGACGUCCAGCACAAAUCAAGUUUAGAGAUGAGGAUGUACUGGAGUUGUUUCCUUUCAGGUGUGGCCUCAGACCAGGAGUGUGAGCAUACCUGAGUUUCUCAGAAGUGCUGAAUCCCAGGACACACAGUAGACUGAGUCAGACUGCCUGUUUCAACAAGACUGAGAGGAUUGGCAUGAGACUAAGGACCAUUGAUAUAAAACUGAAGCAAAAAGCUGUGAACUAACUGCUUUUCAGGGAGUCAGGCCACAGUGUAAUGCCUCCCAUUUGUGAUGACUGGCUUAGUCGUGAGCUCGCUUAUGUCCAAGAUUAAGUUCAGGUAUGUGUUCUGUGUCAUACAUAUUUUAUACAAGGAUAUUGCUUUGAUUUUCAGAGAAAUCACUAUCCACACUUUGUACAUAUAAGAAACCAGAACUUUCAGCACUUUCCACUCAGGGACAAGUACUUCACCUGCUAUAGAGAAGCCCUAGUUCUGAGCAAAACAACUGUAUUAAAACUGUGUGACUCAUGUUCCUAAUACACACUGUUCACAGUUUACUAGCAUACCUGUCACAAGGCAGGUAGAAGCUGACACAGACAAGGUUUUACUGAUUUUAAACCUUUAUGUUCCCUGUUUGUCAAAAUAACUCGCCCAUUUUCACAUUCUGCCCUUGCUGACUUCACAGAGCUUUCUUAUUUCUCUGCCUCAACUCCUAAAGGAAUUGUGCUCAGAUUCUCUAUUUGCUUUCUACCACCCUAGAAAGCCAUGCCUCCUGACAAAUAGUGUAUGCUCACUUAAUAUGUUCUUGUACAGUUGUAGGAUUAUCUUAGGGUAGGAUUUGGACAUAAUGGAAAUUUUCUUAAAAAGCCCAUUUCUCUUAUAUGUGUUCCUUUUCUGUGCACUGUUGCUAACCCAAAUCUCAUUAACUGUUUUCUAGAAAGCUAUGAAUUUGCAUACAGUACUAGUACAAAAUUCAAUCUAGUUGAAGGAGUCCAACGCCAGCCACCAUUUAGCUGAAAAUCUAUAAUACACAUUGCAUCUCAAAACAAGACGUGAAGAUCCAAGUCACAUUCUAAGCAUGGUGGAUGAGGAUAAGAAGCUCUUCCUGCCCAAGACUGUAUAGUCCUAUACUCCCUGUUAUAUGAACAAUAAAUGCCUAACUUUUGUUAGCUAA
This is an RNA transcript of Phyllostomus hastatus (greater spear-nosed bat), 2711 nucleotides long. It is a transcript of the gene named paraspeckle component 1, with no coding region annotated. The transcript is spliced from 11 exons. Lineage: Eukaryota; Metazoa; Chordata; Mammalia; Chiroptera; Phyllostomidae. The record is from RefSeq and is a predicted model, not a curated record.